RNAcentral lists this long non-coding RNA (444 nucleotides) under Lonchura striata (white-rumped munia). Its description in RNAcentral is "domestica (Bengalese finch) lncRNA (ENSLSDG00000018133.1)". Lineage: Eukaryota; Metazoa; Chordata; Aves; Passeriformes; Estrildidae. The record is from RNAcentral.
AGCCAGAGUAACCUUUUGUCUACAAUUAAAUAUUCUAGCAUAAAUAUAAAAGAAAAUCAGAGAUGGGAAAGAUUGACUCACGAGAGAUUGGAGAGGUAGAUUCGCACGGUGAUAGUGCAAGCAGCUUGCUUCUAAUUAAAUAUGCGGCUGAGUCUCAAAGCAUUUGCUUUCAGCCGCAGAGAGAAGAAGCUGCCCAAGAAUGGAAAGGAAGAAAUAUAUCACAUCAUCUGUCUGUCCACAGGCUUUCCUCUGGGCUUAUGGAGACCCUGUUGUCAUUCUUUGGCUGGGAUUUCCUUAGAGAGGACAUGGGAAAAGACCAGUGCCAGUAGGAAGGAAAAAAGAGUUUUCAUGUGUGAUGAAUUUCAAUACCAGAAAGAGUCAGAAAGUUUAAUGGGAUUAUUUUGUGGUGUUUUUUCUGUUUUGGGUUUUGUUUUGUUUAUUUGU